CAGGGUGGAAGCGCCCAGUUCCCGAGUGGGGAGGACGUUGGACUCUACCAUCGGGAGGAGCCAGACGGACAGACACUGCAGGAGGACCAGGCCAUGUCCCCCUCUUCCUGUUUGGUCUGUGGGCUGCUGUUGCUCCUGUGUCCCACUGACGCCAGGUGGCAGGUGCAGGUCCAUCCAGCAAUGAAUGGUCUUCACUGUCGAGUUUCAGUGGUAUCACUCUGGAUGGCUUCCCAAUCUGUCUCGGACGCCUCCCUCUCCACCUCAGCCUGAUGCGCUGUGAAGACGGAAUUGUCUUCCCCCUGCCCAGUUCUGGAAUCCAGAAGUUAAGGAAUCGAGGUGUCUACAGAGCCACAUUCCCUAUCAAGGCACAAGAAGGAGAAUCCAUUCCUUGCCUCGCUCCUUCCUGGUGGCUGCCCUGGGAACGACUCCCGCUGGUCUCUGCCUGUCUUCACAUGACCUUUCCUCUUCUGUCUGUGCUCAAGGC
This 484-nucleotide long non-coding RNA is filed under the name Heterocephalus glaber (naked mole-rat). RNAcentral's name for it is "lncRNA (ENSHGLG00000035162.1)". Lineage: Eukaryota; Metazoa; Chordata; Mammalia; Rodentia; Bathyergidae. The record is from RNAcentral.